UGACACGUCGUUUCAGUCCGCUA
RNAcentral lists this non-coding RNA (23 nucleotides) under Arabidopsis thaliana (thale cress). The record is from RNAcentral. Lineage: Eukaryota; Viridiplantae; Streptophyta; Magnoliopsida; Brassicales; Brassicaceae.